This 1327-nucleotide ribosomal RNA is filed under the name metagenome. RNAcentral's name for it is "bacterial SSU rRNA". It matches the Rfam family "Bacterial small subunit ribosomal RNA", at positions 8 to 1325 of the family's 1533-position model. The record is from RNAcentral.
AGAGCUUGAUCAUGGCUCAGAUUGAACGCUGGCGGCAGGCCUAACACAUGCAAGUCGAACGGUAACAGGAAACAGCUUGCUGUUUCGCUGACGAGUGGCGGACGGGUGAGUAAUGUCUGGGAAACUGCCUGAUGGAGGGGGAUAACUACUGGAAACGGUAGCUAAUACCGCAUAACGUCGCAAGACCAAAGAGGGGGACCCUCGGGCCUCUUGCCAUCGGAUGUGCCCAGAUGGGAUUAGCUUGUUGGUGGGGUAACGGCUCACCAAGGCGACGAUCCCUAGCUGGUCUGAGAGGAUGACCAGCCACACUGGAGCUGAGACACGGUCCAGACUCCUACGGGAGGCAGCAGUGGGGAAUAUUGCACAAUGGGCGCAAGCCUGAUGCAGCCAUGCCGCGUGUAUGAAGAAGGCCUUCGGGUUGUAAAGUACUUUCAGCGGGGAGGAAGGGAGUAAAGUUAAUACCUUUGCUCAUUGACGUUACCCGCAGAAGAAGCACCGGCUAACUCCGUGCCAGCAGCCGCGGUGAUACGGAGGGUGCAAGCGUUAAUCGGAAUUACUGGGCGUAAAGCGCACGCAGGCGGUUUGUUAAGUCAGAUGUGAAAUCCCCGGGCUCAACCUGGGAACUGCAUCUGAUACUGGCAAGCUUGAGUCUCGUAGAGGGGGGUAGAAUUCCAGGUGUAGCGGUGAAAUGCGUAGAGAUCUGGAGGAAUACCGGUGGCGAAGGCGGCCCCCUGGACGAAGACUGACGCUCAGGUGCGAAAGCGUGGGGAGCAAACAGGAUUAGAUACCCUGGUAGUCCACGCCGUAAACGAUGUCGACUUGGAGGUUGUGCCCUUGAGGCGUGGCUUCCGGAGCUAACGCGUUAAGUCGACCGCCUGGGGAGUACGGCCGCAAGGUUAAAACUCAAAUGAAUUGACGGGGGCCCGCACAAGCGGUGGAGCAUGUGGUUUAAUUCGAUGCAACGCGAAGAACCUUACCUGGUCUUGACAUCCACGGAAGUUUUCAGAGAUGAGAAUGUGCCUUCGGGAACCGUGAGACAGGUGCUGCAUGGCUGUCGUCAGCUCGUGUUGUGAAAUGUUGGGUUAAGUCCCGCAACGAGCGCAACCCUUAUCCUUUGUUGCCAGCGGUCCGGCCGGGAACCCAAAGGAGACUGCCAGUGAUAAACUGGAGGAAGGUGGGGAUGACGUCAAGUCAUCAUGGCCCUUACGACCAGGGCUACACACGUGCUACAAUGGCGCAUACAAAGAGAAGCGACCUCGCGAGAGCAAGCGGACCUCAUAAAGUGCGUCGUAGUCCGGAUUGGAGUCUGCAACUCGACUCCAUGGAG